This 794-nucleotide ribosomal RNA is filed under the name uncultured bacterium. RNAcentral's name for it is "bacterial SSU rRNA". It matches the Rfam family "Bacterial small subunit ribosomal RNA", at positions 8 to 796 of the family's 1533-position model. The record is from RNAcentral.
AGAGUUUGAUCAUGGCUCAGAUUGAACGCUGGCGGCAGGCUUAACACAUGCAAGUCGAGCGGGGGAGGUUACUUCGGUAACUGACCUAGCGGCGGACGGGUGAGUAAUGCUUAGGAAUCUGCCUAUUAGUGGGGGACAACAUUCCGAAAGGAAUGCUAAUACCGCAUACGCCCUACGGGGGAAGGCAGGGGAUCUUCGGACCUUGCGCUAAUAGAUGAGCCUAAGUCGGAUUAGCUAGUUGGUGGGGUAAAGGCCUACCAAGGCGACGAUCUGUAGCGGGUCUGAGAGGAUGAUCCGCCACACUGGGGCUGAGACACGGCCCAGACUCCUACGGGAGGCAGCAGUGGGGAAUAUUGGACAAUGGGCGCAAGCCUGAUCCAGCCAUGCCGCGUGUGUGAAGAAGGCCUUUUGGUUGUAAAGCACUUUAAGCGAGGAGGAGGCUCCUUUAGUUAAUACCUAAAGUGAGUGGACGUUACUCGCAGAAUAAGCACCGGCUAACUCUGUGCCAGCAGCCGCGGUAAUACAGAGGGUGCGAGCGUUAAUCGGAUUUACUGGGCGUAAAGCGUGCGUAGGCGGCUUUUUAAGUCGGAUGUGAAAUCCCUGAGCUUAACUUAGGAAUUGCAUUCGAUACUGGAAAGCUAGAGUAUGGGAGAGGAUGGUAGAAUUCCAGGUGUAGCGGUGAAAUGCGUAGAGAUCUGGAGGAAUACCGAUGGCGAAGGCAGCCAUCUGGCCUAAUACUGACGCUGAGGUACGAAAGCAUGGGGAGCAAACAGGAUUAGAUACCCUGGUAGUCC